RNA transcript from Oncorhynchus kisutch (coho salmon), 1722 nucleotides. It is a transcript of the gene named T-cell acute lymphocytic leukemia protein 1 homolog, with no coding region annotated. The record is from RefSeq and is a predicted model, not a curated record. The transcript has 3 exons. NCBI's taxonomy places the organism in Eukaryota, Metazoa, Chordata, Actinopteri, Salmoniformes, Salmonidae.
ACCACCCCCACCACCAUGACCCUUACCAUCACACCCACCACCACGGGGGGCAUCCGCCUCACCCGCUCACCUCCCUGUCAGGGACCCAGACCAGGGGCCCCACCGAUCCCCACCCAGGGCCCCCUGCUGCCCCACCAGUACCUGCCACCACACCACUUCUUCAGCAGUUCUCAUCUUGGUCCCUCUGGUAACUAUGGAAUCUUUUCCAGUAGAAGCAUCAAGAGACGGUCCUCCUCACACUAUGAGUUGGAUCUCAGUGAUGCGGGCCCUCCUCAGAAGCUGGCGAGGCGUGUGUUCACCAACAGCCGGGAGCGUUGGCGCCAGCAGAACGUCAACGGGGCCUUCUCAGACCUCCGUAGGCUCAUCCCCACCACCCUCCGGACAAGAAGCUCUCCAAGAAUGAGAUCCUCCGACUGGCCAUGAAGUACAAUCGACUUCCUUGUCACCCUGCUCAACGACCAGUCCCAAGACAAAGCCAGGGGCUCGCCUGAGGAGGAGACCCAGGAUGAGAGGGCCCAAGUGGGGCUGAACAACAAGGAUAUGCACCCACUUUUCCAGGGUGACACUCCCUCUUCAACUAUGGUCUACCACGACAGAGGAGACUCCACAGACUCAUCGACCAUCGCCUUGGCAACCUCCCCGACCUCCAGUUGCUAUAGCAACACAGACAGUGAGGAGAACCUGGGGGGCGGGGCUAAGAGCUCAAUGGUGGUGCCGCGGGGCAUUCCGGGAAAGGUCAAAGGUCAGAUUCGGACUGCGGUGACACUUGCCAACGACCAGCGGUGACAUGACAUGUGACGUCACAAAGAGGACAAAAUUGAAUACCUUGUAGCAAAUAAUAUCCGACAAACUGGCAGAAAGGACAAAAAUGUACAGUAUACUUACUACUCUACCAGCAAUCUAUGAGACUUUUGGAAUCGAUGUAGUUCUUUCAAUGACAUGGUAUAUCUGCAAGGUCAGUUCUGAGUUCUUGUAGCAGUUUGUGGUAGUGUUUGACUGCCCCUCUGUCUGGAUUUUGUGUCCUGCAGUGUGGGACUGAGGCUUUCUGGGGAACGUAAGCUGUUUCAUCCGAACUGAGGCUUCUAUAGGGCUACCUGGGAAAUGUAGGCUUGACUGUUUGUACAUCCAGUCAGCACAGUGUCAGUUGCCCUAAAACCUCUGAAGGAGCCAUGUUGACCUCAUGGCUUUGCUUCCUGAAGUUUGAGACAUCAAAAAACAUCAAUGACGGUAACCUUCAGCCAGUAGUUUAUGUGGCAAUUUUUUAAGUUUCCUAUUUUCUUUCUUUAGUCAGAUGAAGAAGAUGGUCCCACCCUCCCUCCCUUAGAGGACAACAUUGUGACACAGUUGUCCCAAAUGGCACCCUAUUUCCUGUUUAGUGCACUACUGGUCAAAAGUAGUGCACUAGGUAGGGAAUAGGGUGCCAUACGGGACAUUGACCGUGCUAGCUGACCGAAAUAAAGAGUGUUUUAGUUCUCUCUUCCUUAUUCAACAUCCUCUUAUUGCACUCCAGAAUACAUGCAGCCCUGUUAUCAGCACAAUUUCUCAACCCAUACAAUUGUUUCACUGCUGUGUCCAGUUUGAGAAACAGACAGUGUAGUCGCUGGCAAAGUUGUUGUGUGAAGGGGUGAAGAUGUGUUUUUGUGUUCAGAAAAUCAACCGUGCUUAAUUUAUGGCUGUAAGUUGGUUUGUGAUCCUAUAAAAAGUGUGUUGUGAGAAAGUGCA